Danio rerio (zebrafish) is the source of this 1291-nucleotide non-coding RNA. NCBI's taxonomy places the organism in Eukaryota, Metazoa, Chordata, Actinopteri, Cypriniformes, Danionidae. The record is from RefSeq and is a predicted model, not a curated record.
CCACUUAAAAAGUGGUACAAAGCAGACAAACAUUGCAGACGGCGCAGCGCUUGCAAACAUGCUUCAUCCUUUUAUGAUUGGUAUCGUCACAAUUAACACCUCCAUGACCAUCGCAUACUGGAUCUUCAUUCUGACAGAAGCCUUUUAUAAGAAGACUGAGGAUGAAGACAAAAAAGACAACCCUGCUUAGGCUACAGUUUCUUUUGAAUUAAUAUUUAAAAUAAAGAACAAAAAAAAAAUUAUUGAGAAGGCACUGACUUCCAGGUUUUCUGCAAGAAGCUCAAGGAUGCGCCUGAACCUGAGGAAAUCCCAGUCUGAACUGAGACCUUGACCAUAAGAAGAAAAAGAAGAUGAUGACGAAGAAGAGGAAAGCUAAUCCUUGGAAGCAGGAUGAAAAAGAGAAAAUGUAACAAAAAGGAACAGACUGAUAUUUGACUGAAGAAUAUCUGCCAUUUAUAUCUACUGUAUUAACAUGAUGUCACUGAAUACAAUCCCUCAUCUUUCAUCCACUAGUCAAACUCUAACUCUUUAUUACAGUCUUAAAAUCAAUCAUGGCUGCUCAUUUCCAUCAAAACAAGGAGCACGAAAGCACCAAGCUUAUAAUUUGUUGUAAAUCUGUAGCAAAAUGUGUUUGUAAUUUUGUAUGUUUUCUAACUAUAUUUAGCAAAGUAGCUGCCCAUGUUUUGUGAAUCUUUGUGGCUUUCUUAGACAUGCCCAAUUCCCUCGACAAUAAUAAAUGAGUAUAAUAUAGAGAGUAUUGGUACUGUUUACAUGGCAUUUGUCCUCCUGUAACCUACUCUCUGAUCCGGAUUAGCAUGAUUAGCGUGUGCUAGUUCAGGCAGGGUGCUCGGCGCAGACAGAGGGAGCUGUAGCUGUUUGAUCACCACUGAUGAUGUACUUUCUGUUCUCCAGUGAAUGCACAGACCUUAUUUGACACACUGUUUGUGUGGGAUUACGGUUUCGUUCAGUUGUUACAUUAAGAAGAUGCUGCUACCUGAGCUUACCCGCAAACACUUUGGCUGGUGUAAUGUAAUGAAGUCAAGCUGACUGACUGAAGAUUGAAAUAUUAUUCAAUUAUAUUUUUAGACCGUAUAUAUUGUUCUUGAUUUACUGUAUGAGGUGUACUUUAUUAGGUAUGAGAUUGAGUAAAAUGCUGAUCUUUAUUUAGUUUUUUAAUUUUAAGUCCAACAACAUGUUUCAAAUAAAAUAUUGAGCUUCAUUAUAAUUUCAGAAAACUCCAAUCCGUCAGAACAUUUGUGGUGAUUGAAAAUAAAGAUUAUUCUACAAAGAA